Molecule: ribosomal RNA, 392 nt
Filed under: uncultured bacterium
Lineage: Bacteria
Description: partial 16S ribosomal RNA
Rfam family: Bacterial small subunit ribosomal RNA
Source: RNAcentral
CUACGGAGGAUGCGAGCGUUAUCCGGAUUUAUUGGGUUUAAAGGGAGCGUAGGUGGGAUAUUAAGUCAGCUGUGAAAGUUUGGGGCUCAACCUUAAAAUUGCAGUUGAUACUGGUUUCCUUGAGUACGGUACAGGUGGGCGGAAUUCGUGGUGUAGCGGUGAAAUGCUUAGAUAUCACGAAGAACUCCGAUCGCGAAGGCAGCUCACCGGGCCGGAACUGACACUGAUGCUCGAAAGUGCGGGUAUCAAACAGGAUUAGAUACCCUGGUAGUCCGCACAGUAAACGGUGAAUACUUGUUUUCGGCGAUAUAAUGUCGGAGGCAAAGCGAAAGCGAUAAGUAUUCCACCUGGGGAGUACGCCGGCAACGGUGAAACUCAAAGGAAUUGGCGGG